GAGAUGGAGCCUACUCUAUCACCCAGGCUGGAGUGCAGUGGUGUAAUCUCAGCUCACUGCAACCUCCACCUCCAGAGUUCAAGUGAUUCUCGUGCCUCAGCUUCCUGAGUAGCUGGGAUUACAGGCACCCGGUACCACCCCCGGCUCAUUUUUGUCUUUUUAGUAGUGAUGGGUUUCGCCAUGUUGGCCAGUCUGCUUUCAAACUCCUGACCUCACGUGACCACCAGCCUCAGCCUCCCAAAGUGCUGGGAUUACAGGCGUGAGCCACCGAGACCAGCCUCACCUCAUUCACUCUUACCUGGACACCUGACUUUACUUGAGAUACAGGCAUAGUGAUUCUCAGCAGGAAACAGCCUGCCCCCACGUCACGCCCAGAGACCCAUCACUGGCUGCCUGGCUUGGUGACAAAGUCCAUGCAUUUCUAAUCAGAAACAUGGAGGCCAGAAAGCAGUGGAGAAUGACGACCCUCAGGCAGCCCUGGAGGAUGCUGUCACAGGCUGGGGCAAGGGCCUUCAGGCUACCAACUGGGAGCUCUGGGAACAGCCCUGUUGCAAACAAGAAGCCAUGGCCCGGCCAGAGCCCAGAAUGUGGGCUGAGCUGGGAUCCACGUGACAGCUUUGAGGCUCACUGGGAGCAGCCUCUGGACAGGAGAGGUCCCAUCCAGGAAACCUCGGGCAUGGCUGGGAAGUGGGGUACUUGGUGCCGGGUCUGUAUGUGUGUGUGACUGGUGUGUGGGAGAGAGAAUGUGUGCUCUGAGUGUCAGUGUGAGUCUGUGUAUGUGUGAAUAUUGUCUUUGUGUGGGUGAUUUUCUGCAUGUGUAAUCGUGUCCCUGCAAGUGUGAACAAGUGGACAAGUGUCUGGGAGUGGACAAGAGAUCUGUGCACCAUCAGGUGUGUGCAUAGCAUCUGUACAUGUCAAGAGUGCAAGGUGAAGUGAAGGGACCAGGCCCAUGAUGCCACUCAUCAUCAGGAGCUCUAAGGCCCCAGGGCCUGGAGCAGGAAGCAGCGGCAAGGACCUCUGGAGCAGCCCAUACCCGCCCUGGCCUGACUCUGCCACUGGCAGCACAGUCAACACA
Long non-coding RNA from Pan troglodytes (chimpanzee), 1075 nucleotides. RefSeq lists it as uncharacterized. NCBI's taxonomy places the organism in Eukaryota, Metazoa, Chordata, Mammalia, Primates, Hominidae. The transcript has 3 exons. The record is from RefSeq and is a predicted model, not a curated record.